UGCUGCAUGGCUGUCGUCAGCUCGUGUCGUGAGAUGUUGGUUAAGUCCCGCAACGAGCGCAACCCUUGUCUUUAGUUGCCAUCAUUUAGUUGGGCACUCUAAAGAGACUGCCGGUGUCAAACCGGAGGAAGGUGGGGAUGACGUCAAGUCCUCAUGGCCUUUAUGACCAGGGCUACACACGUACUACAAUGGCCGGUACAAAGGGCAGCCACUUAGCGAUAAGGAGCCAAUCCCGUAAAGCCGGUCUCAGUCCGGAUUGGAGUCUGCAACUCGACCCCAUGAAGUUGGAAUCGCUAGUAAUCGCAGAUCAGCACGCUGCGGUGAAUACGUUCCCGGGCCUU
RNAcentral lists this ribosomal RNA (341 nucleotides) under uncultured Desulfocapsa sp. RNAcentral describes it as "bacterial SSU rRNA". It matches the Rfam family "Bacterial small subunit ribosomal RNA", at positions 1039 to 1382 of the family's 1533-position model. Lineage: Bacteria; Pseudomonadati; Thermodesulfobacteriota; Desulfobulbia; Desulfobulbales; Desulfocapsaceae. The record is from RNAcentral.